GAUCGGCUCAGGAUGAACGCUAGCGGCAGGCUUAACACAUGCAAGUCGAGGGGCAGCAUAAUGGAUAGCAAUAUCUAUGGUGGCGACCGGCGCACGGGUGCGUAACGCGUAUGCAACCUACCUUUAACAGGGGGAUAACACUGAGAAAUUGGUACUAAUACCCCAUAAUAUCAUAGAAGGCAUCUUUUAUGGUUGAAAAUUCCGAUGGUUAGAGAUGGGCAUGCGUUGUAUUAG
RNAcentral lists this ribosomal RNA (234 nucleotides) under uncultured bacterium. RNAcentral's name for it is "partial 16S ribosomal RNA". It matches the Rfam family "Bacterial small subunit ribosomal RNA", at positions 15 to 244 of the family's 1533-position model. The record is from RNAcentral.